UGCACACAUGACUGUAAGUCGCUUUGGAUAAAAGCAUUUGCUAAAUGGCAGAUA
This is a non-coding RNA of Salmo salar (Atlantic salmon), 54 nucleotides long. The record is from Rfam. Lineage: Eukaryota; Metazoa; Chordata; Actinopteri; Salmoniformes; Salmonidae.